GCCGAAGGUGGGGCUAAUGACUGGGGUGAAGUCGUAACAAGGUAGCCGUACCGGAAGGUGCGGCUGGAUCACCUCCUAACAGGGAGACAACAAAAUGUAAAUAUUAAUUUUGUCACCUUAGGUCGAUCGGUAUCUCAGAUUCUUUUUUUUAAGAAUUUCAGUUUCUAAGUUUUUUCUAGGUCACACCCAUCACUUUUUCCUGGGCCAUUAGCUCAGGUGGUUAGAGCGCACCCCUGAUAAGGGUGAGGUCCCUGGUUCAAGUCCAGGAUGGCCCAUAUCUCUAUGUUGGGGGUAUAGCUCAGUUGGUAGAGCGCCUGCUUUGCAAGCAGGAUGUCAGCGGUUCGAGUCCGCUUACCUCCACUGAAUACCACCUCUUACAUAUAAUUAAAGUGGGAAAUUGUUUUGAGUCGUGUCCUAAUUUGCUCUGAGCGAAUCUAGCUUCCUAUUUUAUCCAAGAAAUAAGAUGCUGGACUCAUUGAAUUUUUUUUCAUUGUUUUCAGAGAACCUUGACAACUGCAUAGAUUAUUUUUGAAGACAAUAAGCAUCUUUAAUGAUGCAGAUUUAUUAUUUGUGCGAAUGCAUUAAAUAACAAUUCUAUUAAGCUGAUGCUUCAAUUUUUGAAGUUAUUGGUCAAGCUACAAAGGGCUCACGGAGGAUACCUA
RNAcentral lists this unclassified non-coding RNA (662 nucleotides) under uncultured Prochlorococcus sp. RNAcentral's name for it is "partial may contain 16S ribosomal RNA, 16S-23S ribosomal RNA intergenic spacer, and 23S ribosomal RNA". The stretch from base 288 to 360 matches the Rfam family "tRNA". The record is from RNAcentral. Lineage: Bacteria; Bacillati; Cyanobacteriota; Cyanophyceae; Synechococcales; Prochlorococcaceae.